AGCCUCAGCCUUAUCACCCUGUACCCCAAGACUGGUUACUCACUAAAGCUAAGCAGGGCUGAGCCUGUUCAGUACCUGAAUAGGAGACAACAUAGGAAAAAUAGAUUGAUGUUGGAA
Molecule: non-coding RNA, 117 nt
Organism: Danio rerio (zebrafish)
Lineage: Eukaryota; Metazoa; Chordata; Actinopteri; Cypriniformes; Danionidae
Source: Rfam